UCUCUCUCCCUCUCUCCGUGUUUGGCUUCGCCGUCCGCGGUCAAUCCUCCUCUGUGCCCUCCUCUCUCUCUAUCUCUCUUCGGGCGAAGAUGAAGCGGCCGGUGAAGUUCAACGCCGACCCUAGGGCACGGCGCACCGCGUUCAAGAAGAGGAGAGCCUGCUUCCUCAAGAAGGCCUAUGAGCUCUCCACCCUCACCGCCACCGACGUCGCCGCCAUCUCCUUCGCUCCACAUGAUGCACCUCCCGGCGCUGUCCCCGACCUCCUCACCUGGCCUCAGGACCGGAAAGAGGUGGUCCGCAUUAUCCGCCGCCUCCCUAAGUACGGCGACGGCGCCGGUCCCGGCAUCAAUAAAACGCCGAAAAUCAAGCCCCCGGAGGAGGUUGCCGUCGACCAGGCGUGGGACGACGAGGGGGCGCUUUGGACCAUCGUGAGGUCCCUGCUGGAACCAGAGAUCCUGGCCCUGAGAAAUAGCGGAACUAAGUUACCGGAGGAACCGGAGUGCUCGAGCUCCCAUCACAUCCUAGGGCUUCAAGAUCCUCUUCCUCCUCCUCCUCCUCUCGCGGCGGCGAUCGUCGACGAUGCCUCCGACCCCACUGCCAUGAGGAUUCACGAGCUCCUGAGUAUGCCCGAUACCUUCUACGGGAACGAUGAGGCCUCCUUCGCUGAGUUGCUGCACCUGAUGCAACAAGAGUAGACCAGCAACAUCUGCGAUAACUUCUUCAGCUACAAGGAAAAUGGGUCCUGUAAUGCAGAAGGAUAUGCUGACUUCAAGCAAUCGCUCAACGAGAUGCCAUCAAGCAUCUAUCUUUUCUCAUUCAACCAGCAGUGUUGAGAAAUUGCUCUUUCUCAGAGUACAUCCUGUCUCCACCAAUCUACUAUGCAAACCAUCAUCUUUGACAAGACACCCUGAAGGAGGCCAUUUUAGAAUUAUUACCCAUGAGUGACAGCCAGUGCUAUUUAUUUGAUUCUUAGAAGUUUUCAGCUUCAUGUGGCAACAAGUUCUAGCUUGAUGAUGUCAGUGAAUCUCAACAGUUUGUUCCAGAUAUUUUGAAUGGAAUAUUUGAAAUAGCAAUUGAGAUGGAAAAGAUUGAGAAGAAUUCACUGAGAAGCAAUAUGCUGGAGGGGUAUCUUAUGGUAACUCUGUUUGAGCCAUCAACAUCAACCAGACUUUCCUUUGAGCCAGCUAUAAAAAGGCUAGGAGGAUAAGUUUUUUAUUACAGAAGAAGCACGUGAAUUUUCUUUAGCCACGAGGAGAAACUCUCGAAGAUAUAACUACAGUUGAAGGUUACACCGAUAUAAUUGUUUUGAAACACUUCAAAAGUGGAGUUGCUAGAUGGCAGCUUCUACAGCCAGUAUUCUUUUUUAUAAAAGCUGGGAUGAUCAAGGACAUUCUUGGAAUCAUCAAAUUUCAGAAUUGGUACUGCAACUCAGCCCUGCCACUUGGACAUAUGAGUUAUCCUAUGCCUAAUAUGCAUCUUUGACUAUUUAUGCUUGUUUCGAUUCCUGGAUUAGGUGCUUUAUGAAUAAAGACUAACGUUAUUCAAGAAGGCUUGUUGUUUUGCUUCAGUCUUCUUGUUCUCCAAUUCAUCAAGUUUCCCUCAGUGUUCACAAUUGGUGGGAAAUUAUGGUUUAACCAACUAUGAAAAUUCUUUACAUGAAUAAUUUCUACUUAUGUAAUACUCUUUUAGGAUCCUUC
Molecule: non-coding RNA, 1697 nt
Organism: Musa acuminata subsp. malaccensis (wild Malaysian banana)
Lineage: Eukaryota; Viridiplantae; Streptophyta; Magnoliopsida; Zingiberales; Musaceae
Source: RefSeq, a predicted model, not a curated record